RNAcentral lists this ribosomal RNA (253 nucleotides) under uncultured bacterium. RNAcentral describes it as "partial 16S ribosomal RNA". It matches the Rfam family "Bacterial small subunit ribosomal RNA", at positions 524 to 776 of the family's 1533-position model. The record is from RNAcentral.
UACGUAGGGGGCAAGCGUUAUCCGGAUUUACUGGGUGUAAAGGGAGCGUAGACGGCAUGGCAAGCCAGAUGUGAAACACCGGGGCUCAACCCCGGGACUGCAUUUGGAACUGUUAAGCUGGAGUGUCGGAGAGGCAGGCGGAAUUCCUAGUGUAGCGGUGAAAUGCGUAGAUAUUAGGAGGAACACCAGUGGCGAAGGCGGCCUGCUGGACGAUAACUGACGUUGAGGCUCGAAAGCGUGGGGAGCAAACAGG